Molecule: non-coding RNA, 574 nt
Organism: Mauremys mutica (yellowpond turtle)
Lineage: Eukaryota; Metazoa; Chordata; Testudines; Geoemydidae
Source: the annotation of a RefSeq genome assembly
AGGCAAGAUGAUCUCAUACACGCCCCUUCUCUGGCUGUUGGUUCUCUGGAUUCAGGACUCCUCUGGGCAAAUUGUGAUGACUCAGUCCCCGGAAUCUCUGGCAGUGCCAGUGGGAGGGAGAGUCUCUAUCAACUGCAAAGCCAGUACGAGCAUUAGCAAUAACUUACACUGGUACCAACAGAAACCUGGACAAGCUCCCAAGCUUCUUAUCUACUAUGCCAGCAACCUCCAGUCUGGGGUCCCAGCCCGGUUCAGCGGCAGUGGUUCUGGCACUGAUUUCACACUCACAAUCAGCAGUGUAGAAGCUGAUGAUGCUGGAGAUUAUUAUUGUCAGCAGAGUAACAACUACCCUCUCACAGUGAUACAGACCAGUACAAAAACCUCCCUGCUCUCUGCAGUGUGCAAUGCAGUUACUGCUUCCUCCAGAUACAACUGUCAAUUUUUCACAUUUUAUGAAGUGCGAAGGAAAAGCGUAGCGUUUUUCAUCUCUGAACAUACAGUCAAAAGGAGAAAGCUCAAAGAACUAAAUUGUUUGAAUAAUCAUACAGAUACUAGAAUUUACACACAGGCCUGA